ACUCAAAGGAAUUGACGGGGGCCCGCACAAGCGGUGGAGCAUGUGGUUCAAUUCGACGCAACGCGAAGAACCUUACCUGGGCUCGAACGGCUUAAGAACAUCUUUGGAAACAGAGACUUCCCGCAAGGGACUUGAGUCGAGGUGCUGCAUGGCUGUCGUCAGCUCGUGUCGUGAGAUGUUGGGUUAAGUCCCGCAACGAGCGCAACCCUUGUCCUGUGUUGCCACUCCGUAAGGAAGCACUCGCAGGAGACCGCCAGCGAUAAGCUGGAGGAAGGUGGGGAUGAUGUCAAGUCAUCAUGGCCUUUAUGUCCAGGGCUACACACGUGCUACAAUGGGCGGUACAAAGCGCUGCAAACCCGCGAGGGGGAGCUAAUCGCAAAAAACCGUUCUCAGUUCGGAUCGCAGGCUGCAACUCGCCUGCGUGAAGCUGGAAUCGCUAGUAAUGCCGUAUCAGAAUGAUGGCGUGAAUACGUUCCCGGGCCUUGUACACACCGCCCGU
Molecule: ribosomal RNA, 499 nt
Filed under: uncultured bacterium
Lineage: Bacteria
Description: partial 16S ribosomal RNA
Rfam family: Bacterial small subunit ribosomal RNA
Source: RNAcentral